This 923-nucleotide non-coding RNA is filed under the name Eupsophus vertebralis (Valdivia ground frog). Its description in RNAcentral is "partial 12S ribosomal RNA". It matches the Rfam family "Bacterial small subunit ribosomal RNA". The record is from RNAcentral. Lineage: Eukaryota; Metazoa; Chordata; Amphibia; Anura; Alsodidae.
UGGUCCUAGCCUUGAAAUUAAUUUUUACUUAAUAUACACAUGCAAGUCUCCGCACCCCUGUGAAAACGCCCUUAAUCCCCGCUAGGGAAAAGGAGCCGGAAUCAGGCACGAAAAUCUGCCCAAAACACCUAGCUACGCCACACCCACAAGGGAACUCAGCAGUGAUUAACAUUUAAUAUAAGCGACAGCUUGAUUCAGUUAAAGUAAAAAGAGCCGGCUAAUCUGGUGCCAGCCGCCGCGGUUACACCAUGGGGCUCAAAUUAAUUUCUAUCGGCGUAAAGCGUGAUUAAAGUUUUUUUAAAAAUUUGGAGUUAAAUUAAAACUAAGCUGUGACACGCUUGUGAUUAAGAAACCCGAAACGAAAGUUACCCCAAUUAUACCAACUUGAACUCACGACAGCUAGAAUACAAACUGGGAUUAGAUACCCCACUAUGCCUAGCCGUAAACUUUAAAUUACAACGACAUCGCCCGAGAACUACGAGCAAAGCUUAAAACUCAAAGGACUUGACGGUACCCCAUAUCCCCCUAGAGGAGCCUGUCCUAUAAUUGAUAACCCCCGUUUAACCUCACCAUUUUUAGCAAAUCAGUCUGUAUACCUCCGUCGUCAGCUUACCACGUGAGCGAAACUUAGUGAGCUUAAUGCUAUUACACCAAUACGUCAGGUCAAGGUGCAGCAAAUGAAAUGGAAAGAGAUGGGCUACACUUUCUAACAUAGAAUACACGAAAGACUAUUUAUGAAACCUAGUCGGAAGGCGGAUUUAGCAGUAAAAAGAAAUCAGAACACUCUUUUUAACACGGCACUGGGGUGUGUACACACCGCCCGUCACCCUCUUCACAAGCCAUAAAUAGUAUUUAACUAAUUGACGCAUCAUAGAAGAGGCAAGUCGUAACAUGGUAAGUAUACCGGAAGGUGUGCUUGGAAA